Molecule: ribosomal RNA, 403 nt
Filed under: uncultured bacterium
Lineage: Bacteria
Description: partial 16S ribosomal RNA
Rfam family: Bacterial small subunit ribosomal RNA
Source: RNAcentral
AUUGAACGCUGGCGGCAGGCCUAACACAUGCAAGUCGAGCGAGCGGCGGACGGGUGAGUAAUGUAUGGGGACUGCCCGAUAGAGGGGGAUAACUACUGGAAACGGUGGCUAAUACCGCAUAGUAUCGGAUAACCCAUAUGGGAUUAGCUAGUAGGUGGGGUAAAGGCUCACCUAGGCGACGAUGUCUAGCUGGUCUGAGAGGAUGAUCAGCCACACUGGGAGUUAGACACGGCCCAGACGCCGACGGAGGCAGUGGUGGGGAAUAUUGGACAAUGGGCGCAAGGCUGAUGCAGCCAUGCCGCGUGUAUGAAGAAGGCCUUAGGAUUGUAAAGUAAUUUCAGCAGGGAGGCGUUACCGGCAGAAGAAGCACGGGCUAACUCCGUGCCAGCAGCCGCGGUAAUAC